GUUCCCUCAUGCAGGUCGAGCGCGCCCCCGCGGCGCGCGUCACGCAUCAGACCUC
This 55-nucleotide ribosomal RNA is filed under the name Herpetineuron toccoae. RNAcentral describes it as "partial 26S ribosomal RNA". The record is from RNAcentral. Lineage: Eukaryota; Viridiplantae; Streptophyta; Bryopsida; Hypnales; Anomodontaceae.